UACGUAGGUGACAAGCGUUGUCCGGAUUUACUGGGCGUAAAGAGCGCGCAGGCGGUCGUUCAAGUCGAGUGUGAAAGCCCCCGGCUCAACUGGGGAGGGUCACUCGAUACUGAUCGACUCGAAGGCAGGAGAGGGUAGUGGAAUUCCCGGUGUAGUGGUGAAAUGCGUAGAUAUCGGGAGGAACACCAGUGGCGAAGGCGGCUACCUGGACCGGUUCUGACGCUGAGGCGCGAAAGCGUGGGUAGCAAACAGG
Molecule: ribosomal RNA, 253 nt
Filed under: uncultured bacterium
Lineage: Bacteria
Description: partial 16S ribosomal RNA
Rfam family: Bacterial small subunit ribosomal RNA
Source: RNAcentral